This 2200-nucleotide long non-coding RNA is filed under the name Mustela putorius furo (domestic ferret). RNAcentral's name for it is "lncRNA (ENSMPUG00000031306.1)". The record is from RNAcentral. Lineage: Eukaryota; Metazoa; Chordata; Mammalia; Carnivora; Mustelidae.
AUGUGGGCAUGCAUGUGGGUGGUGGGAGUAGGGAGCCUGGGGGCAGAGGGGGAGGGCAAGAGAGAAUCUUAAGCAAGAUUCAUACACAACAUGGAGCACAAUGGGGGCUGGAUCUCACCACCUUGAGAUCAUCACUUGAGCUGAAAUCAAGAGUCAGACACUUAACUGAACCACCAGGCACCCCCAUACUCAUGUUAAUGUGAAUAAAAACCCAAUAGCCAUUUAUACACAAGGCAAAUGUAGAUACAUCCCCAAUUGAAGGCAUCAAUAUUUUGUGGAUGAAAGACAAAAUAUUGGGAUGCCCACCAAGUCAUCUUGACUCCUGGUAUUAUUCAUAUCUUUGUGCAAUCUCUUCCCCUUGAACAUGGAAGAAACCUGUGACUUACUUCUAACCAAUAGAAUAUGGCAAAUGAUGAUUAUAUCACAUAAAAUGUAGCUGCCAUUUUGCUAGAAGAUACUAUUUUCUCUUUGCUAGCUUGUUUGGUGAAGUGAGCUUCCCUGAGGAAGCUCUUCCCAGGGGGCAAGAAACUAAGUUUGGCCUCCUCCCAGCAGCGGCCAAGAAAGCAAGCAAGACUCUCAGUCUGAAGAACCAGAAAGAACUAAAUCCUGCCAACAACCACAUGAAUCUGGAAUCAGAAUCUUCCCUGGUUGAGUAUCAGGAUUCAGCGGUCCUGGAUCGGGAAGAGGAUGGAGACGGGAGGACGGAAGUGGCGCAGAUGGAAGAAAGAGCAGGCUGUGAAGAGAAGGGGGCGCCGUCCCUCUCUUACCUCGUGCUAUUGGGCCCCCAAGUCCCCGCUGAAUGCUCCACCCACUCCCUGAGUGCCGGGGUCCCCAUCAGAGCCUCCUUCACAUAGCUCACAGGUGCAAAAUGGACACACUUCCGGUAUCUACUGCUCUCCCCCCUCACAGAUAAUUUAUCUAGUCGGCUUAGUUUUGUUUUUUUUUUCUGUGAAUUCAGUAAAAGUUUCACCUUAAUACGCUGAGUAUUUCCAGAGGCAGGCUCAUGUCUAGUUUGCCCUGACCCUUCUGCAGUGACCUGCUGAUUAAGACAGAACGAGAGAGAUCAUCUGUCCAGGGUGUGCCCCUUGGGCGAGAGUCGUGAGUGGCCACCCUUACCCAACUCGGGUUUUCCUCUGUCUUCCCCGACAAAAAAAAAGCCAUGAGAAUCCAAAUACAUUUUUUUUUUUUAAGAUUUUUUAUUUUAGAGAGAGUGCAUGCGUGGGUGGGGAGAGGGGCAGAAAGAGAGGGAGAGAGGCAGACUCCCUGCUCAUCCUGGAGCCGGGUGUGGGCUCAAUCCCAGGACCCUGAGAUCAUGACCCUAGCUGAAACCAAGAGCCCCACCUCAGCCGGUUGAGCCAUCCAGGCACCCCUCUGAAGGCAUUCUUUCCAGAGUCUGCGGCAGCCCCUCCUUUGAUGGGGAGGGAGGCCAUGGAGGUCAGGCUACGGUAGUAAAAGCAAGCCUCUAGUGAAAUACAAUAUAAUUGUUAAAUGUAGGCAGUUGCCUCUACCAGAAUCCCAGACCUUGAACCCUCCUAGCUGAAUGGACAGCUUACCUGUUAGCAUGAGAAAGAACUGAGGGCCAAGGUACCAGGAGGGAAUUUAAUACGGAUUUAUCUAUCUUAAACAGCAUGCCAGGUGUCCAGAGAGGAGCUUUAAAUGUACUAUUUCAUGUAACACCCACGACAACCCAGGGUGGUAAGCGCAGAUUACUGCUCUCAGUUUACACAUGAGGAAACUCAAAUACAAAGACUGAAAAAUAUGUCUUAGGUCUCGGUAGUGGAAUCAAUACUCAGAGAGGUUUUUGAGGGUGAUCCUUAAGGUCACAGAGAGACAGCUAACGUCCCCUUACUUGACUCCUUCCUGGACGUAAACAAAAUGACUCGGGAGACUUCAAGGUCCCCCUCUAUCCAGAGCUGCCCUGUGACACUAAGCGUCCUGUCUGGAGUUGGGGGCCUGGGACUUAAACUUCUGAGGCUUCUCAUCAUAGACUUUUCAUCUUGAAAGGGAACAGGUAGAGCAACAGGGUCUAUGCAACAGGAAUUUUUCAUUCUGUUUUUCUUUUCACUAACCUCUAACUGAAAUUUAGUAUUUCCCUCAAUUAUAAACAGAAGCAAUAAACCACAGUCUUGUUUGCAGUAUUUGUGACUUUCUUUCUUUCUUUCUUUCUUUUUUUUAAAUAUUUUAUUUAUUUAUUUGACAG